AGCGAACGCUGGCGGCAGGCCUAACACAUGCAAGUCGAACGAACCUUUCGGGGUUAGUGGCGGACGGGUGAGUAACACGUGGGAACGUGCCUUUAGGUUCGGAAUAACUCAGGGAAACUUGUGCUAAUACCGAAUGUGCCCUUCGGGGGAAAGAUUAAUCGCCUUUAGAGCGGCCUGCGUCUGAUUAGCUAGUUGGUUGAGGUAAUGGCUCACCAAGGCGACGAUCAGUAGCUGGUCUGAGAGGAUGAUCAGCCACAUUGGGACUGAGACACGGCCCAAACUCCUACGGGAGGCAGCAGUGGGGAAUCUUGCGCAAUGGGCGAAAGCCUGACGCAGCCAUGCCGCGUGAAUGAUGAAGGUCUUAGGAUUGUAAAAUUCUUUCACCGGGGACGAUAAUGACGGUACCCGGAGAAGAAGCCCCGGCUAACUUCGUG
This 434-nucleotide ribosomal RNA is filed under the name uncultured bacterium. Its description in RNAcentral is "partial 16S ribosomal RNA". It matches the Rfam family "Bacterial small subunit ribosomal RNA", at positions 29 to 507 of the family's 1533-position model. The record is from RNAcentral.